RNAcentral lists this ribosomal RNA (391 nucleotides) under uncultured bacterium. RNAcentral describes it as "bacterial SSU rRNA". It matches the Rfam family "Bacterial small subunit ribosomal RNA", at positions 29 to 417 of the family's 1533-position model. The record is from RNAcentral.
AUUAAACGCUGGCGGCAUGCCUUACACAUGCAAGUCGAACGGCAGCACGGGGGCAACCCUGGUGGCGAGUGGCGGACGGGUGAGUAAAGCAUCGGAACGUAUCCUGGAGUGGGGGGAUAACGUAGCGAAAGUUACGCUAAUACCGCAUAUUCUGUGAGCAGGAAAGCAGGGGGAUCGCAAGACCUUGCGCUCUGGGAGCGGCCGAUGUCGGAUUAGGCUAGUUGGUGGGGUAAAGGCCUACCAAGGCGACGAUCCGUAGCGGGUCUGAGAGGAUGAUCCGCCACACUGGGACUGAGACACGGCCCAGACUCCUACGGGAGGCAGCAGUGGGGAAUUUUGGGACAAUGGGCGCAAGCCUGAUCCAGCCAUGCCGCGUGAGUGAAGAAGGCCU